Molecule: transfer RNA, 71 nt
Filed under: Marmota monax (woodchuck)
Lineage: Eukaryota; Metazoa; Chordata; Mammalia; Rodentia; Sciuridae
Description: tRNA.Ala
Source: RNAcentral
GUGGUGGUGGCUUAGUGGUGGAGUGCUUGCCUAGCAUGUGUGAGGCACUGGGUUCGAUCCUCAACACCACA